UGCAAGUCGUACGCACUGGCCCAACUGAUUGAUGGUGCUUGCACCUGAUUGACGAUGGAUCACCAGUGAGUGGCGGACGGGUGAGUAACACGUAGGUAACCUGCCCCGGAGCGGGGGAUAACAUUUGGAAACAGAUGCUAAUACCGCAUAACAACAAAAGCCACAUGGCUUUUGUUUGAAAGAUGGCUUUGGCUAUCACUCUGGGAUGGACCUGCGGUGCAUUAGCUAGUUGGUAAGGUAACGGCUUACCAAGGCGAUGAUGCAUAGCCGAGUUGAGAGACUGAUCGGCCACAAUGGAACUGAGACACGGUCCAUACUCCUACGGGAGGCAGCAGUAGGGAAUCUUCCACAAUGGGCGCAAGCCUGAUGGAGCAACACCGCGUGAGUGAAGAAGGGUUUCGGCUCGUAAAGCUCUGUUGUUGGAGAAGAACGUGCGUGAGAGUAACUGUUCACGCAGUGACGGUAUCCAACCAGAAAGUCACGGCUAACUACGUGCCAGCAGCCGCGGUAAUACGUAGGUGGCAAGCGUUAUCCGGAUUUAUUGGGCGUAAAGCGAGCGCAGGCGGUUGCUUAGGUCUGAUGUGAAAGCCUUCGGCUUAACCGAAGAAGUGCAUCGGAAACCGGGCGACUUGAGUGCAGAAGAGGACAGUGGAACUCCAUGUGUAGCGGUGGAAUGCGUAGAUAUAUGGAAGAACACCAGUGGCGAAGGCGGCUGUCUGGUCUGCAACUGACGCUGAGGCUCGAAAGCAUGGGUAGCGAACAGGAUUAGAUACCCUGGUAGUCCAUGCCGUAAACGAUGAGUGCUAGGUGUUGGAGGGUUUCCGCCCUUCAGUGCCGGAGCUAACGCAUUAAGCACUCCGCCUGGGGAGUACGACCGCAAGGUUGAAACUCAAAGGAAUUGACGGGGGCCCGCACAAGCGGUGGAGCAUGUGGUUUAAUUCGAAGCUACGCGAAGAACCUUACCAGGUCUUGACAUCUUGCGCUAACCUUAGAGAUAAGGCGUUCCCUUCGGGGACGCAAUGACAGGUGGUGCAUGGUCGUCGUCAGCUCGUGUCGUGAGAUGUUGGGUUAAGUCCCGCAACGAGCGCAACCCUUGUUACUAGUUGCCAGCAUUAAGUUGGGCACUCUAGUGAGACUGCCGGUGACAAACCGGAGGAAGGUGGGGACGACGUCAGAUCAUCAUGCCCCUUAUGACCUGGGCUACACACGUGCUACAAUGGACGGUACAACGAGUCGCAAACUCGCGAGAGUAAGCUAAUCUCUUAAAGCCGUUCUCAGUUCGGACUGUAGGCUGCAACUCGCCUACACGAAGUCGGAAUCGCUAGUAAUCGCGGAUCAGCAUGCCGCGGUGAAUACGUUCCCGGGCCUUGUACACACCGCCCGUCACACCAUGGGAGUUUGUAACGCCCAAAGUCGGUGGCCUAACCUUUAUGGAGGGAGCCGCCUA
Molecule: ribosomal RNA, 1447 nt
Filed under: Limosilactobacillus reuteri
Lineage: Bacteria; Bacillati; Bacillota; Bacilli; Lactobacillales; Lactobacillaceae
Description: bacterial SSU rRNA
Rfam family: Bacterial small subunit ribosomal RNA
Source: RNAcentral